AAAUCGUACCCCAAACCGACACAGGUGGUCAGGUAGAGAAUACCAAGGCGCUUGAGAGAACUCGGGUGAAGGAACUAGGCAAAAUGGUGCCGUAACUUCGGGAGAAGGCACGCUGAUAUGUAGGUGAAGUGAUUUACUCAUGGAGCUGAAAUCAGUCGAAGAUACCAGCUGGCUGCAACUGUUUAUUAAAAACACAGCACUGUGCAAACACGAAAGUGGACGUAUACGGUGUGACGCCUGCCCGGUGCCGGAAGGUUAAUUGAUGGGGUUAUCCGUAAGGAGAAGCUCUUGAUCGAAGCCCCGGUAAACGGCGGCCGUAACUAUAACGGUCCUAAGGUAGCGAAAUUCCUUGUCGGGUAAGUUCCGACCUGCACGAAUGGCGUAAUGAUGGCCAGGCUGUCUCCACCCGAGACUCAGUGAAAUUGAACUCGCUGUGAAGAUGCAGUGUACCCGCGGCAAGACGGAAAGACCCCGUGAACCUUUACUAUAGCUUGACACUGAACACUGGUCCUUGAUGUGUAGGAUAGGUGGGAGGCUUUGAAGUGUGGACGCCAGUCUGCAUGGAGCCAACCUUGAAAUACCACCCUUUAAUGGCUGGUGUUCUAACGUAGACCCGUGAUCCGGGUUGCGGACAGUGUCUGGUGGGUAGUUUGACUGGGGCGGUCUCCUCCUAAAGAGUAACGGAGGAGCACGAAGGUUAGCUAAUCCUGGUCGGACAUCAGGAGGUUAGUGCAAAGGCAUAAGCUAGCUUGACUGCGAGAGUGACGGCUCGAGCAGGUGCGAAAGCAGGUCUUAGUGAUCCGGUGGUUCUGAAUGGAAGGGCCAUCGCUCAACGGAUAAAAGGUACUCCGGGGAUAACAGGCUGAUACCGCCCAAGAGUUCAUAUCGACGGCGGUGUUUGGCACCUCGAUGUCGGCUCAUCACAUCCUGGGGCUGAAGUAGGUCCCAAGGGUAUGGCUGUUCGCCAUUUAAAGUGGUACGCGAGCUGGGUUUAGAACGUCGUGAGACAGUUCGGUCCCUAUCUGCCGUGGGCGCUGGAGAAUUGAGGGGGGCUGCUCCUAGUACGAGAGGACCGGAGUGGACGCAUCACUGGUGUUCGGGUUGUCAUGCCAAUGGCAUUGCCCGGUAGCUAAAUGCGGAAGAGAUAAGUGCUGAAAGCAUCUAAGCACGAAACUUGCCCCGAGAUGAGUUCUCCCUGACCCUUUAAGGGUCCUGAAGGAACGUUGAAGACGACGACGUUGAUAGGUCGGGUGUGUAAGCGUAGCGAUACGUUGAGCUAACCGAUACUAAUGAACCGUGAGGCUUAACCUUACAACGCCGAAG
Molecule: ribosomal RNA, 1323 nt
Filed under: Citrobacter braakii
Lineage: Bacteria; Pseudomonadati; Pseudomonadota; Gammaproteobacteria; Enterobacterales; Enterobacteriaceae
Description: bacterial LSU rRNA
Rfam family: Bacterial large subunit ribosomal RNA
Source: RNAcentral